This 19159-nucleotide long non-coding RNA is filed under the name Hordeum vulgare. Its description in RNAcentral is "long non-coding RNA (HVUL_LNC020694)". The record is from RNAcentral. Lineage: Eukaryota; Viridiplantae; Streptophyta; Magnoliopsida; Poales; Poaceae.
CCAAGAUGACGUCUCAAGACGUAUUGAUGUAUUACUUUAUGUGAUCUUUAUAAAUAAUUAAUAAAAUAAAUAAUUAAUAAAAUGGCUACAUGCAUCUUUCACAUACAAAAUAAAAGAAAGCUAGCAAAUCCAACAUCCAGAACAAUUUGAUGAUGUGGAAGCACGCAUGCAAAACAAAAUAGCUAUGUAACAGUGUCUAAUGACGUUUCUCUAUAGAAGAUAACUAUAUUUUGAUCCUCGGCCUACUUAACAAUUAGUAUGAGAGUAAGUUGGCUAUGUUAAUAUUAUGCAAUUAGAUUGGAACACACCUCAACCCCUCGCCAGAGUGUCGCCACUAGUCAUCGCGAGAAACUGAUCGAAUUUCUCUAUGAGCGAACACUAUCUGUAAUCGAUUGGUGAUAUGGCAGUGAGACAACUUGAACUUUGCCGCUGGAUUCCUACAGUAAACAAGUGCCAUCACAAACCCACUAUGAUUACAAACGCAGACUAUGAUCAAUAGUAAAUGUCACCCUUUCAUUUACUUAGUCGCACCGCUUGAAAACGCGGGAUAAACUUUUUUACUUUUUCUUUUUGAGCAAGGAUAAAAACUUUACUUGGCCGCAACGUGAACCAGCACGCUUCUGGCCUACACGCAAACUAGCUAUAUGGACUCUGCGGGCUAGAUCGAACCGAGAUUACAAAUUACCUUACUGAAACCUAAACAAACCAACUUGACAGAAACAAACUUAACUUUCAUCAUGGCGGGCUAACGUUGAUCGAAAUCGCCGUGCAGCAUGAUGAGCGGCUGCCUUCACUUGUUUUCGGGUUUCUUCUUAGGCAGCAGGUUCUGAUUCUUCGAUGUUGUAGGUUUUGCCUUAGCCGUCUUGUUCUUGUUAACCUUUGCCUUCGUGUUAACCUUUGGCUUUUGAGAGGCGUCCUUUGCGACUUCAUCGCCCUUGGCCAUGACGUGGUCUGCUGCUCUUCCUAUCCGAUGUGUCUGGCAGAGGUGAGGUGGAUGUGGUGUUUGCUUUGCUCCGGUUGGGUUGGAGAAACCUGCAACAAUGGUAACAUAUAUAUAGGCCGGACGAAUCCCUUCCAUUAGGGAAGAAGGGGUUGGUGGCAUUGCUAGUGCCAGUCAGUCUUUGCUGUUUUGUAUAUCUCACAUAUUGUUAUUGACGGAUGAAUGGCCAUGCUGGCUGCUGCGGUUGGUCCUCAUUUGUUUUCCUCCUCCUCCUCCUUAUAUUACACUUUUGCUUCGGUACCAAAGCACGCCUCAUUGUAUUAUUGGACGCGUCUAGCAAGCAGCCAUGUGUUCGUUAGCGCUCGGCAGCCGGUCGUAUUAGGAAAAUUAGUGUUUCAUGUUCUGAUUAGAAAAGUCCACAUUCUCCGUCUCUUCACCCAGUCCACAUGCGAGACAAAAAUCAAAAGAAUCAUCCAGCUUAUGCGAUUUCUUUUCUCUCAUUCACGCUGGCCUCACUUAUUUCCCAUGUUCUUUGCAUUAGUAAAGCAAAAAGGCAAUCAAUGCAUUUCAAAAAAUUCAAAAAGAUAUAACUUUCAAACCACAUGCCAAAAUUAAGAUCCGUUUUCAUCAAUGAAAACCUCGCGGUGAGAACUUUCAAACUAGUCCCCAUUUAUAUAUUUUUUAUGAACAUUUUUCACCGCCAAGUGAUUCUACUACAUGAUGCAACUUUUAUACCAUGGGGUGUAACUUUUUUUAAACCAACUUUUGUGAUACCACGACCAACUAUAAUAUUACAUGGAUGCAAUUUUAGUGCUACAUGAAUCAACAUUACCAAAAGAGCAACUUCAUAUGUGGUCCCAUCCAUGUGCCUAGCACACGAUGUGCAACUUCAUGUGCUACUCGGCCAACUGUCUACCUUGUGGAUGUGCAUUUUUCAUCUCCCAAAUUAUCAUGUCAGUGAGAUAUGCAACUUCAUUUGGUGUUCGCGCCAACUGAUUAACAAACGAUGUGCAACUUUAUCUAAUGCCCCUCCACCUACCUAGCAGACGAUGAGCAACUCGAUCUUCUCCCCGCCAAAUGCCUUGUAUUCGACAUGCAACUACUUCCUUACCACGUGGAUGUGCCUUCUUCACCACUUCUAUACUUGUCAGUGCGAUGUGCAACUUUAUAUGCUAUUUGUGCCAAUUGACUAACCAAUGAUAUGCAAACUUCACUUAUUGUCCAUGCCAACCAACUAACAACCGGUGUGCAAAUCUCAUAGCUUGUGCAUGAUCAACUAUGCUGACAAGAGUGUGCAACUCCGCGGCCGCGCAUGUGCACCUUAUGGAUAUAUUUUGAUGAAAUUUUAUGUGUGCAAUUUAGUCCCCAUUUUGUGCAAGUGUAUAGCGGUCAAUGUCCAACUUUGUGGUCAUGCGUGCGAGGAUGUGAACGAUAAAAUGGUCAUGUGUAAGCUACUACACUGAUAAGAUUGUGCAACUCCGUAGUCCAAAGAGAAUGUGCAGCUCCUAGUCCAAACUAGCCCUUAUCGAUAUAGUUAGUACGGAAUAUAUCUCGCCAUGGGCAGCCCGGCCCGACUCGACCCGACCUUGCCCACAGGCCAAACUCGGGCCUGAUAAUCAAGCCCGGUGGCCGGGCCGGACCGGGCUCGGGCCCGUGAAAAUCUCCGUUUACGCCUGCGUCGGGCCGGGCUUUUUCGGGCUCGGGCCAGGCCUGGGCCCAAAAAAUAGGCCCGAUGGUCGGGCCGGGCCGGGCUCGGGCCUAGGUUUUAUACCAGGGUUUUUUUAGGCCCGGCCCGGCCCGAGAUAUGGCCAGGUAGAGUAUGGACUGAUGCAAAGAUCGGGGGAUUCGUUCCUCCUUUAAAAAAAACCCUGCAGCUAUAGGGCUUCAAAUCUGCGAGUCCCAGCACUCCUAUGGUCAUCAAACUGUCACCACAACCGCCACCGAUCAGCCACGGAUGCUUUGAUUCGAAAUGUCUGAUCAUGCUCCUUAUAUGAUGGGAAACGCUUUCAUCCGAUGCGCCGGCCGAAUCGUUCGGCUGGUUACGCGCGGGCAGCGCGCCUCGCUGGUUAGAGGUAUGCAACAUUUUUUCGUCAGAUUUGCUGUAACCAUGCGUAAAUUUGAUACAAAUGUUUUCUAUUAUGCUAUAACUUGUCCAUUCAAAAAGCUACAUCCACAUUUGGUUGCAACUCGAGUUCGUUGGAUUUUUUUGCUACAACCGUGUUAAUUUUUGCUACAACCGGCAUCAUUUUUUGCUGCAACCGUUCACUAAAAAAGUUGCAUACGCGUUCGUCAGAGUUGCAACCCGAGUUCAUCGGAUAGUUUUGCUACAACCCUUAUUUUAUUUUGCUACUACGCAUCAUCAGCUUCGUUUUUUUGCUACGAUCACGUAGAUAUUUUUCUUGCUACAACUAUAUUUUUGUUGCAAUCGUUGGCUAAAAUUGCUGCAUCAUGGAUAAAAUUUGUUGCAUCGAAGAAAAAUUGCUGCAUGGAUAGAUCUAAGAGUGCGCCCCGCUGAUCUGACGGUCGCGCUGCGACCUUGCUCCGGCACUCCGACGCCCAGUACCGGCCUUAUAUGAUACCGGAGGGAUUGAAGGAAAACCGCAACGACCGUAGAUCAUUCCCAACUAUUGCCUUUUAUUAAGUCAUCCAACAGCAAUCUGCGAUAUAUAACUCGACAACUCAAGUAAAAAAUGAACUAACUUUUGGCCUCAACGUGAACAUGCAGGCCACUACUCCCUCUCUUGUACAUGAGGAAAACUAAUACAAGUUCCCCUUAUUACAAGUAUUUCGAUACAAAGGGAAUAACUAUGGACUCCAAGCGCUUGAUCUAAGCGAGUUUAGAAGGGGGGGGGGGGGUUUUGUGAAGAAGCGAGUUUAUAAGUUUAUGUACUGCAGCAAAAGUUCGUGUGACAGAAACACACUUAAUAAACUACAUUUUGACUGGACGGUAUCAAUCUCAGUGCAGCUGCACAUGCAGCUGCUCUUAACCUUUUUAGGGCUACAGGCCUCUUAAACAACCUUUGAUUCAUCUUAGAAGACUGUAGGCAUCGCCUGAUUCAUCUUAGAAGACUGUUGCUUUGGGUUAGACGGCCCAAACACCGCCUGCUGUGUCUUUGACAACGACCGCUUCGCCAUCUUAGAAGUCAUCUUCAUGCAGCUACUGCAUACCAUGGCGCGAUAUCUUUCCUCUUCUUCUUCUAUUUUGACCAAGCGAUCUGAGGUGACCUAGAUGCAGUGUUUACUUUGUUUCAGGUUGGGUUGAAGAAACCUGCCGCAACGGCAUAAAAAAUGGUUGUAAUAGGCCAAAACUGCGAGUUUCAACGAGUUCCCCGUAACUGAACCCCGAAGUGCCGGAAACGCUCGGAUCACAGCGGGACUCAAAAUCAGUGACUAAUAACAUACAAAACUGGUUGGAAUAGGCCAAAACUUCGAGUUUUCAUGAGUUCCAUCUAACCGGAGCCCGGGUUUUCCCGAAACGUUGGGAUCGCAGCGGGACAUAAAAUCUGAGUAAUAACAUACAAAACUGGCCGAAAAAGACCAAAAGUGCGAGUUUUGACGAAUUCCCCAUAACCGGACCCCGGGGUUCCCGAAACGUUCGGAUCGCAACGGGAACAAAAAUCAGUCAGUAAUAGCAUACAAAACUCAUCAGAAUAGGCCAAAACUGCGUGUUUUGACGAGUUCCAUGUAACCGGAUCCAGGGUUCCCGAAAUGUUCGGAUCACAGCGGGAUCCAAAAUCAGUGAGUAAUAGCAUACAAAACUGGCCACAAUAGGCCAAAACUGCGAUUUUUACGAGUUCCCCGUAACCGGACCACGGGGUUCCCGAAAUGUUCGGAUCACAGUGGGACCUAAAAUCAGUGACUAAUAGCAUACAAAACUGGCCGGAAUAGGCCAAAACUGUGAGUUUUCACGAGUUCCACGUAACCGGAACCCGGGGUCCUCAAAUGUUCGGAUCGCAGCGGGACCCAUAAUCAGUGAGUAGUACCAUACAGAACUGGUCACAAUAGGUCAAAACUGCGAGUUUCGACGAGUUCCCCGUAACCAGACCCCGAGGUUUCGAAAACGUUCAGAUCACAACGGGACCCAAAAUCAGUGACUAACUGCAUAUAAAACUGGCCGGAAUAUGACAAAACUGCGAGUUUUCACGAGUUCUGUGUAACCGGACCCUGGGUUCCCGAAACGUUCGGAUCACAGCGGGACCCAAAAUCAGUGAGUAAUAGUAUACAAAACUGGCCGAAAUAAACCAAAACUGCGAGUUUUGAUGAGUUCCCCAUAACCGAAACCCUGGAUUCCCGAAACGUUCAGAUCGUAGCGGGAACGAAAAUCAGUGAGUAAGCAUACGAAACUCGUCAAAAUAGGCAAAAAAUGUGUGUUUUGAAGAGUUCCAUGUAACCGGACACAGCGGUUCCCGAAACGAUCGGAUCACAGCGUGAUCCAAAAUCAAUGAGUAAUAGCAUACAAAACCGGCCACAAUAGACCAAAACUGUGAGUUUCGACGAGUUCCGCAUAACCGGACCCAGAGGUUCCGGAAACGUACGGAUCACAGCGGGACCCAAAAUCAAUGACUACUAGCAUACAAAACUGGCCGGAAUAGGCCAAAAUUGCGAGUUUUGACGAGUUCCCCGUAACCGGACCAAGGGUUCCCGAAACAUCCGGAUCACAUCGGGACCCAACAUUAGUGACUUGCAUACAAAACUAGCCGGAAUAGACAAAAACUACGAGUUUUGACGAGUUCGCCGUAACCGGACCAAGGGUUCCCGAAACAUUGGGAUCACACCAGGACCCAAAAUCAGUGACUAAUAGCAUAGAAAACUGGUCGUAAUAGGCCAAAAUUGCGAGUUUCAACUAGUUCCCCGUAACCGGACCCCGAGGUUCCGGAAACGUUCAGAUCACAGCGGGGCCCGAAAUAGCAUACAAAACUCGCCAGAAUAGGCCGAAGCUGCGUGUUUUGAUGAGUUUAAUGUAACCGGACCGAGGGGUUCCCGAAACGUUCGGAUCACAGCGUGACCCAAAAUCAGUGAGUAAUAGCAUACAAAACCGGCCACAAUAGGCCAAAAGUGCGAUUUUUGACGAGUUCUCCGUAACCGGACCCCGAGGUUCCGAAAACGUUCGGAUCACAGCGGGACCCAAAAUCAAUGACUAAUAGCAUACAAAACUGGCCGGAAUAGGCCAAAACAGCGAGUUUUCACAAGUUCCAUGUAACCGGAGCUCGGGGUUCCCGAAAUGUUCAGAUCGCAGCGGGACCCAAAAUCAGUGAGUAAUAGCAUACAAAACAGGCCGAAAUAGACCAAAACUGCGAGUUUUGACGAGUUCCCCAUAACUGGACCCUGGGGUUCCCGGAACGUUCGGAUCGCAGCGGGAACCCAAAUCAGUGAGUAAUAGCAUACAAAACUUCGAGUUUAGGACAAAACUGCGGGUUUUGACAAGUUCCCAAAACAAGACCCCGGGGUUCCCGAAACGUUCAAAUCGCAUCGGGACCCAAAAUCAAUGACUAAUAGCAUACAAAACUAGCCGGAAUAGGCCCGAAUAGGCCAAAACUGCGAGUUUCGACGAGUUCCCCAUACCCGGACCCCGAGGUUCCGGAAACGUUCGGAUCACAGCGGGACCCAAAAUCAAUGACUACUUGCAUACAAAACUGGCCGGAAUAGGCCAAAACUAUUAGUUUUGACGAGUUCCGUAACCGGACCAAGGGUUCCCGAAACAUUCGGAUUACAUCGGGACCCAACAUUAGUGACUUGCAUACAAAACUGGCUGGAAUAAGCUAAAACUAUGAGUUUUGACGAGUCCCCCGUAACCGGACCCAGGGUUCCCGAAACAUUCGGAUCACAGCGGGACCCAAAAUGAGUGACUAAUAGCAUAGAAUACUGGUCGUAGUAGUCCAAAACUGCGAGUUUCAACUAGUUCCCCGUAACCGGACCCCGAGGUUCCGAAAACGUUUGGAUCAUAGCGGGGCCCAAAUCAGUGACUAAUAGCAUACAAAACUGGUCGGAAUAGGCCAAAACUUUGAGCUUUCAUGAGUUCCAUGUAACCGGAGCCCGGGGUUCCCGAAACGUUGGGAUCGCAGCGGGACCCAAAACCAGUGAAUAAUAGUAUACAAAACUGUCCGAAAUAGACCAAAAGUGCGAGUUUGACGAGUUCCCCAUAACCGGACCCCGGGGUUCCUGAAAUCUUUGGAUCGCAGCGGGAACCAAAAUCAGUCAGUAAUAGCGUACAGAACUCGCCAGAAUAGGCCGAAACUGCGUGUUUUGACGAGUUCCAUGUAACCGGACCCAGGGGUUCCCGAAACGUUCGAAUCACAGCGUGACCCAAAAUCUUUGAGUAAUAGCAUACAAAACCGGCCACAAUAGGCCAAAACUGUGAUUUUUGACGAGUUCCCCGUAACCGGACCUCGAGGUUCCGGAAACGUUCGGAUCAUAGUGGGACCCAAAAUCAAUGACUAAUUGCAUACAAAACUGGCGGGAAUAGGCCAAAACAGUGAGUUUUCACGAGUUCCAUGUAACCGGAGCCCGGGGUUCCCGAAACGUUCGGAUCGCAGCGGGACGCAAAAUCAGUGAGUAAUAGCAUACAAAACUGGCCGAAAUAGACCAAAACUGCGAGCUUUGACGAGUUCCCCAUAACGGGACCCCGGGGUUCCCGGAACGUUCGAAUCGUAGCGGGAACCAAAAUCGGUGACUAAUUCCAUACAAAACAGACCGGAAUAAGCCAAAACUGCGGGUUUUCACGAGUUUCGUGUAACCGGACCCCGGGGUUCCCGAAACGUUCGGAUCGCAGCGGGACCCAAAAUAAAUGAGUAAUAGCAUACAAAACUGGACGAAAUAGACCAAAACUGCGAGUUUUGACGAGUUCCUUAUAAUCGGACCCCUGGAUUCCCGAAACAUUCGGAUUGCAGCGGGAACCAAAAUCAGUGAGUAAUAGCAUACAAAAUUCGCUAGAAUAGGCCAAAACUUUGCGUUUUGAAGAGUUCCAUCUAACCGGACCCAGGGGUUCCUGAAACGUUCGGAUCACAGCGUGACCCAAAAUCAGUGAGUAGUGGCAUACAAAACCGGCCACGAUAAGCCAAAACUGCGAUUUUUGACGAGUUCUCCGUAACUGGACCCCGGGGUUCCGGAAACGUUCGGAUCAUAGCGGGACCCAAAAUCAAUGACUAAUAGCAUAGAAAACUUUCCAGAAUAGGCCAAAACAGCGAGUUUUCACGAGCUCCAUGUCACCGGAGCCCGGGGUUCCUGAAACGUUCGGAUCGCAGCGGGACACAAAAUCAGUGAGUAAUACCAUACAAAAUUGACCGAAAUAGACUAAAACUGCGAGUUUUGACGAGUUCUCCAUAACCGGACCCCGGGGUUCCCGGAACUUUCAGAUCGCAGCGGAAACCAAAAUCAGUGAGUAAUAGCAUACAAAACAGGUCGGAAUAGACCUAAACUACGGGUUUUGACAAGUUCCCCAUAACCGGACCCGUGUUUCCCGAAACGUUCAGAUCGCAUCGAAAAUCUAAAAUCAUUAACUAAUAGAAUACAAAAUUAUCCGGAAUAGGUCUGAAUAGGCCAAAAGUGUGAGUUUCGACGAGUUCGCCGAAAACCUGCCGCAACGGCAGCUUAUAUAAAGGAACAGAGUAUAUAGGAAAAAUGCUCCGGCUCGACGACGCGCUUCCUCCGCGUAGAAUGGCUUGGUGGCGUUGCCGGUUAGGAUCUUCUGUUCUGGGGAGUAUAUAAGUACUUAUAUAUCCAAUGUAUUUUUAUUGAUGGACGGAUGCGGUUGGGUCAGUGGUCGCGGUCGUUGCCGCGUUGGUCUGUUCAUACUCAUACUACUACGGAAGUUAGAAUUAGCAUUAGGUAAGAGAUCUUUUAUGGUACCCCGUGAUAAAAUUAGUCCGUUCAUUCAGGAAAAUCCAACGCUAGAGAUUGAUUUGUACUGCUUCAACGGGCCAGCAGUAUAUGCACUCCAGCCCGAGCAAAGUGGAGCAGUAUACGGAGAUUGAGGGCAGUUUGACAACAUCGUAAUAUUUCAACCCGCCUACCCGUUGACCUAACCCACGCCUACGCCGCGACGAUUCCGGCCGCUGCCGCCGCACGCCCGAUUGAUCUCCGUCUGCGAGCCCCCUCCUCUUCCUCCGCCAUUCUCAUGGAGAAGAGCGACUCCCGCAACUUAAAUGUGGCAUAGUGAGCAUUAAAGUUAAGAUGCAAAUUUAAUCAAAUAAUAAAAAUACUUAUUCAGAUGCAAUUUUAUACUAAAGUUAGUGAGCAUUAAACUCAGUCUCAAAAUAAGUGACUUAAAAGUGACUCAAUUUUAUACUAAAGUUAGUAUAAAGUUGAGUCAUUUUUAAGUCACUUAUUUUAGGAUGAAGGGAGUAGAUUAUUGCAACAUAAACUAAGCUACUUGACAGAAACACACUUGACUUCAUCAUGGCCGAAGACCCCGGUUCCCCACGGGGCAGGUCUCACCCUUUGUGAGGCUACCUCUUAUUUCCGAGCGGCACCCUCCUAUUCUUAGCCCGCACCUGGCUCUGAGGCGACACAGAUUUCGGGUGUGUACUGCCUGACGGCUUUGCACUGGCCUGUAGCACAGAUUUGGGCGGUAUACUGCCUGGCUUUGCACUGGCCUGUAGCACAGAUUUCGGAUGCGUACUGCUUGACUUUGCACUGGCCUGUAGCACAGAUUUGGGCUGUGUCGGGCCUGACGGCACAGAUGGUUUUCUGCUCAUGGCGCGAUCUGCUUCUCUUCUUCUUAUUAUCCUUCUUCUUGUCCAGCGAAGUGGCAGAGGUGAGGAGAAUGUGGUGCUCACUUGGCUACGGUUGGGUUGAGGAAGCAUGCGUCAAUGGUUGCAUAUAUAUAAAGGAGGGAGGGAGAAGGUCUGGGGAAAGCGCUCCGGCCGGACGACCCGAGGACCAUGGUUUGGUGGCGUUGUCAGUCUCUUUGGUUUUGUUUGAGGAGUAGAUAUGAAUAUUCAGUGCAUUUGUUAUUGAGGGAUGGGUAUGCGGUUGGGUCAGUGGUCGUGGGCUCCUGGCCGCUGCCGCGUUGGUCUUCAUUGGGGGGUCCUCCUUCUUAUAAUAUUACUAUAUCCGAAUAUAAGCGGCUGCUUGUUAGAGCAUCUCCUACCCGUUUCAAAUGUCCGCACAAAACAUCCGAUCAUGGACUGGUCAUGAAAUUUUGACCCACAUGAAUGUUUUAAAUGCUCGGGCUAAGCAACAUUCCUCAUAUUCAGUUUAAAUAUGAAACGGAUAUGAAGGCGUCCGGGCAAACCCGUGCUAACAGACCGUUCGGCCUCACGAUGGGGUUCCAUGAAAAUAAGCACACGCCACAUGGUUGCCACAUGUUUGUUAGUUGUUAGUCAUACCAGUCAUUCACCUGUGGACAUGCAUGUCCUAGCUAUUAUAAGGAUACAUAGUUAUUAAAAUAAUUAUGUUAAUUAAUAUGUAAACGUUUAGAUAUCAUACAACAGUACAUAUUCUUAAUUAGUUCUCAAACGAUGAUAAACCAAUAAACAUGCGUAUUAUGAGCUUUAUUGUUGGAUGGAGUGCAUCCAUAUUCCAACAUAUGUUGCACAAACCGCCAUCAUUGGUGAACUCUUCCGUUGAAAUUAUGCAUUAAAUUGAUACAUAUGGCAAGAUAAACAUCUUCCUCGUUACAAAAUAAUACAUAUAAAUUUGAUACACAUUGUGAUCCAAUAUAAAAGACAUCUCGGUAAAAGUUUGGAGAAAGGAAAACUACGCAUACCCACUGGUCAGAAUAUUUAAAGUGAGAGGCAUAAGCCAAAUGGUCUAGACUUUUACAAAGAUGGUAUUUUUUUCUUGCAUAAACAAAAUGAAGAGAAGAGGUACUAAUUGUUUUUUAACAUAAAAACAAUGAUAUGCUAAUGUAUCUAUGAUCAUGAAAUUAAAUAGUACAUUUUCUCGUAAUACUUGGUAAUUUCCUUUUUCCCAUAAAUUUAAAAUUUAUUGGGCCAUGAUAUAUUCAUGGAACAUGAUAUAGCUAAGGCAAGAAAUAUGAAAUUAGUUUUAUGCCUUUUUGAACAACUGUCUGACUAAAAAUAAAUUUUAAUAAUUAGAGUGAACUAUUCUGGUUUGGACGCGCCAAGGAAGAACACAAUAACUAUAGGCAGUUGUUCGCAUGUGAGUUGGGAUCAUUACCAUUUCGAUACUCGGGAAUCCCAAUACAUCACUGAAAAUUAUCUAACAAAGAGUGGAAAUGUAUCAAGGAUUGAUUCGAUAAGAAAUUGAGCUGCUGGAAGGGCAAGCUUUUAUCUUAUGGGGGAGGUUGAUCCUCAUUAAUUCGUAUUGACAAGUAUGGCGAUGUUCCUUAUUUCCUUCAUUGAGGUACCCAUACGGGAACGAAAAAGAUUGGAUUUCUAUCAAUCUCGUUUCUUUUGGCAAAGUGAUGAGAACAAAAUAAAAUAUAGAUUGGCUAAGUGGAACAUUAUUUGUAGACCGAAGGACCAUGGGGGCUUGGGAAUUGAAAACUUAGAAGUGGAAAAUAAGUGCCUACUAAGCAAAUGGUUGUACAAAUUGUCGGUUGAGCGGGAUGGUGUUUGGUUGCAGCUGUUGAGGAAUAAAUACUUGCACUCCAAAACUCUGGUUGAGGUGACGGCACGACCGUCUGAUUCUUCUUUUUGGAAGGGGCUAACGAGGACGGAGGUGUCCUUCUCUAAUAGGAGCAUGUUUAUAGUUGGCAACGGUCAUGGCACUGGAUUUUAUGAAGACAUUUGGUUGGGAGACACACCAUUAGCUUUGCAAUAUUCUUCAUUAUACAACAUUGUACAACGAAAAUAUGUUUUCGUUGCUAGAGUGUUAAGUGGUCCCUCUUAACAUUUAGUUCAGGGAUCGCCAGUGGGGGAUGCUGGAAUAGUUGGCUGCACCUAGUGCGUAGGUUAAUGGAGGUUAACCUUUCAGAUGCACCAGAUACCUUACAAUGGUAGCUGUCAAUGUCAGAUAUAUUCUCAAUUAAGUCAAUAUAUAUGGACUUGAUAAACACUAAACCUAUUCUGAAAUUGAUCCACAUUUAGAAUAUUAAGGUGCCAGUAAAAAGCAAGGUGUUUAUGUAGUUCAUGCAUAAUGGUGUAAUCCUCACGAAGGAUAAUUUGGCAAAGCGUAAGUAGGAGGUUAGUCAGAGAUAUUGUUUUUAUAAUCGUUUCACACUUAUUUGGAACAUGGUUAAUUAGUAUAGAGCCAAAGACUGCGGCACAUGUUUAAAUUGGAGUGUGUGCAUUACUUUGGGCCAUAUCAAAUUAUCGAAAUGACGUUGCCUUUAACAGACAAAACAUUAAAAAAAUGCAGGUUGUCUUUCGGGCGUCUGCUUGGAUCCGUACGUGGUCAUUACUCAGCCAUACAAACCACAUGGGGUUUUUGGAUAUUGGGUGCAACCGAUGGGAGAUAGUUGCAAAGGAUACUUACAAAAGGUUUGAAUGACGGUUCUGUAAUAGGAUAGGUGUUUACUAAUCUUACCCUAUUUGUGCCGGUUGUGUUGAUUUGUUUCUUUUAUUUCUUUGAGAAUUGCAGAUUUUUUCGGGAGUUUGUUCGGAACCUAUUAUUUUAAUACUAUGGUUGUGUGCAUCAAGAUAUGCAGAUGCCGGGGGUUAUCCUCCUUGUUGAAAAAAAAGGUGUCUCUAAAUUUAAAAGCACACUUCGUAAUUUUCGACACUAAUUUUCCAAGAGAAACAUUGAGGAAAAGUAAUAAACUAUUUCAUCUAAAGCACAUAAUUGGCAUUUAGUGUCGUUGGCAAUCCCCCAUCAGAAUAAUAAAUUAAGGAAAAGGUGAUCAACUUUUAUUCCCCACUCUAGCAGCAUUUUCGGAAGUCUCUCCGGCGAUUCUGUGCAAUAUAAGAUGAAUUCACGGUAAAAAUGAUGCAAUGGUAAUCAAAUAAGCAUGAACUUUAUGAAAUUAUGAUACAAAAUACAGAUAUCACUGGUAAUCAUGGACGAUUGUUUCGAUAGUAGCUGGCACUAUGCACAAUGCAUGCAUGUACUAUGUGAAACGUGCAUCAACUAGACCUGAUUAUAGUCCGUCGUUGUGGGUAUUGGAUUCAUCCGAGUCUUGCCAGUGUUGGUACUCAAACUCUGCCGUCGAGAGACUCUUCUAGUCACUGAACCGUCAUCAGGAAGACCGCUGUGUGAUCACAAAUGCAGGCUCUUACACCAAAUGUCAAAUUGCAGCUAAAAAUAUCGCAAGAAACAUGUGUACCACUAUUUCAUUUAUGAGACAGGGCUUUCAACACCCGGGUGCCCAACAACAACCUGCCCAUGGCUGGACAACACAAGGGGAAAACAACUUUACUAGGCCGCAUCGUGGACUAGCACGCUUCUGGCCUACAUGCAAACGACCUGCGGACUCGAUUGAACCGAGUUUACAAAUUAACAUAUUGCAACAUAAACUAGCGUACUUGACACAAACACACUUAACUUCGGCAUGGUCCGGAGAUCAGGUGGACGGGCAGCUGCUCUCACACUUUGGGAGGUUUCCUCUCAUUCUUAUUCUUAUGCCGCGGCUUCAUUUUGCUAUUCUGAGCCACGACGGCGGUAUUCUUGGGUUGUGUAUUCCCGUUCUUCAACGACCGCAGUUUCUUCAUCUUCGUACUGGUUGGCGUUAUCUUUGUCUUGUUAGGGGCAUUCUUUGCAGCUUCCUUGCCCUUGCCCAUGAUGCGAUCACCUUCUCUNUCUUAGAAUUUAUGACGAUAUUCGUCGUUUCUUCUUCUUUUCAGGCGAGGUGGAUGAUUGGUGUUUAGUUUUCUCCGGUUGGGUUCAGAAAGCCUGCGGCAACAGCUGCAUAAACAGGAGGUGGGAGGUCUUGGGAAAGCGCUCACAUGGGACGACAACACGCUUUCGCCCGAGGAGGUUUGGUGGGGUUGCCAGUGCGACUGUUAGUCAGUCUUUGUUUCGUUUUGGGGAUUAGAUAUGUUCUUCACGGAUGGGUAUGCUGUUGGGUUAGUGGUCGUGGUCGCUGCCGCGUUGAUCUUCGUUUCUUCUCCUCCUUCUCCUAUAGUAGUAUACUUUUUUUUUUGCGAAACUCCUUAUAGUAGUAUACUAUUACUAUAUGUGCAUCAGAAUAAACGAUUGCUGGUUAAGUUUUGUUGCUAGCACACCCCCACACGGCUUGUUAGUUGUUGGUCAUAUAUAUCCAGUCAGAUGAACAUGAGCUCGAACUGUAUUCUGGAAGAUGAAGUCCCCCCCCCCUUCCCCGCGCGUGAUGUCUGUUCAGCUGCUAAUAAACGAAGUGGCUUUCUUCGCCCGCGACGAAAAUGGGGAGUUUCGCUUCGUCCGCAAAGGGAAAGGUUGGGGUCAUAGAAUUGAAAAUAUUUAAACAGGGCUAUAGUUUUGAGAUUUUGAUAAAAGAAUUAAAGAAAAUACUCAUAGCCUUUUGGUUUAUGAAUUUUUGCCUAAAUUACAAACUUUAGAUGCCGGGAUCAUGAAACAUCGGCCACAACCAUUUCAAUAUUAUCCCCCAAAAAAUGGUGAGACCAUACAGCCAUGUGGGUCUAUGUGCAAUGUGGUGCCUACAUGCUAACACAUUAUAUUUAGAAUGGGACCAUGCGCUAGCGUAAGUCAAGUGUUUGGACCGACAAGUUAGACAUAAUUCAUUUUAUUCAUGUAAUAUUUAGAGUGGAACCAUGUAUCAAUAAAAGAAAUGUUUCACCAUUUCGACUACUCCAUGUUGAAGAUUUCUUUUGUUUCAGUUUAAUUAAUGCAAAGUUAAGUACUUCCUCCGUCACAAUUUAGAAUGCGUGCAUGAAAAUUCUCUAGAACCUAGGUGGUUAUUGAUUGGCUGUGAAAUGAGUUAAAAAAUAUCAUUUACACUACGCAUGCAUAUAAAAGUAAUACAACAGAGUACUAAUUAGAAGGUAGGAGUAAAUGCAAUGCGCCUUAAACCGUGUCUAUUGUGAAAAUACACGUAAAUUUAACUGUGUCAUCUCCAGUUAGCCACCUACAUGAUUAGAGCGAGUUUAGUAAUUGCUAGUGCUCUACCUUGAGCCGUUCCGCUUAGUUUCUUGGGGGUAAUGUUGGCUGUAAUUACUAGCGCUGUACCUUGUGCCGUUCCACUUACUUUCCUUGGGGGUAAUGUUGGCUGUAAUUGGUUGCUGAUAUGGCAGUGAGACAACUCUGAACCCCACCACUGUACUCCUCCAGUCUUCUGUUUUGUUAAAGUGUUCGACCAGCCGGUUUCUUUUGUUUUGUUCGAUAUAUGUACUCCCUCCGUCACGGUUUAGAAAGCGUGCGUGUGUUUGGAAAUUCUUUGGAACCUAGGUGGUUAUUUAUUGGCUGUGAGAUGGGCUGAAAAAUAGCAUUCACAAUAUGCAUGUAUAUAGAAGUAGUACAACAGAGUACUAAUUAGCUUCUAGAAGUAAAUAUAAUGCACAUUAAACCUUGUCUAUUGUAAAAAUGCAUAUAAAUUUAAGCAUACUUUCUAAACUGUGACGAAGAGAUAUGCAUAUUCAAUACAUGCAUUAGUUAUUGAUGGAUGGAUAGAUGCGGUUGGUCAUUGGUCAUGGACAUCGCCGCGUUGGUCUUCCUUUCUCAGGCUACUCCCAAUGCUUCAUCUUGUACAAGUGCUAAGGCUGCCACGUAGGUAAAAUAUCUGAUGUGGCAAGUUAAUUAAUAGAAGAGAGAUGAGUAUGAUGACCCUAGAAAAAAACAAUGCUAAGCCAUGAACCUAGGUAUAACAAUUAAAUGAAAGAAAUGCAGCAAUGCAUACACAACUUCAAUUGCAAAAGCAUUAAAUAAAAAGGCUUAGCUACAAUAAGCUAAGCAACUAUACAUUGAGAACAUUAGUUGUUAAACUAUUUAAUGUGCUUAGCAUCUUAUCUUAGCACCAAUGCAUUGAAAGUGGCCUUAUACAUUAGAAUUAGCGUGAGCUGGAGGUUAGGAAGUCGUAUGACUAAUAGAGGAAGGAUAAAAAAAUGCACAUUAUGGUUGAACAAGUAGUCAUACAUCUUGUCCAUUGUAAACCAGCACUAACUGCUUUAGAUAGCACAAGGCACGCCAUGAUCAGAAACUAUAGUCGUCAACCAUAUAUAAUUAGCCAAAUUCUAUUCGACGAGGCAGGUAAAUAUCAAGAAAGAAUAGGAAUUUGACGUUCACACACACAAGGACCUUCCCCAACCCUUUUUUUUUUUGCAUAAUUAAUUUGAUUGUCAAACUACUAGUGCAUCGCAAUGGCUAAGGUAGUCCGGGAUUAAGGGGUCCUCGGGUUGGACUAUCGAGGUCUUUCCACUGCUCUACCUUUAGCUAGAGCAGUAGAAUUUUCCAUUUACUGAACCGCCUACACUAACGCCACUAUGAACGCCCAUGCAUGCCCUGACCCCAAAUGCCAAAUUGCUGCUAAAAAUAUUCCAGCAAACUGGAUGAAACCAUGGAGCAUGUAUGCCACUCUUUUCUUAUACUCAGUCUCCCAACGACAACAAGCCCAUCAUGGCUCGACACAAGAAGAAGAAAACAUUACUUAGCCGCAGUGUUGGCCAGCCUAUAUGCAAAACUACAUAUACGGACUCUAAGGGCUCGAUUGAACAAAGUUUACAAAUUAUCUUAUUGCAACAUUGACUAGUGUAUUUCACACAAACACAGUUCACUUGUUGAUUCUGUAAAACCUUAUUGAAUAAUACAAUAAAUAUGGCUGUGUGUAUCGGUCGAUGCAAAUGCCGGGGUAAUCCUCCUUUUAAAAAAAGGAAGAAAAAAAUACAAACACAAUUAACUUCUUCAUGGACAACGUCCAAUGUCACCACAGAGGUGGAUGGGCAGCUGGCCUCACCCAGUUUAGAGGCUUCCUUUCACUUCUUAUUCUUAUGCGCCGACCUCUUCUGCUUAGGCGUCGCCGACCACAUUUGGCUUGACAUUAUUGAGGCCGCCGAUGGAGCCAUCAUUGUUGACAUUCUUGGUGUCGACGUGCUCGACCAUAUAUAGCUUGAGGCCGCUGUUGCGUCAGUUGGCGUUAUUGAGGAUGCGGAAGGAGCGACAAUUGUUGUCAAUCUUGAGGACCAAUCACCUUGUGUUGGCAUCCUCGACCACAUAUGGCUUGAGGCCGCUGUUGCGGCAGUGGACGGUACUGAGGUCACGGAUGGAGCCAUUAUUGUUGUCAUUCUUGAGGACAACUCACCAAUCGUCGGCAUCAUCGACCAGAUGUGGCUUGAGGCCGCCGUUCCGCCUGUUGAUGCUACUGAAGUCGCAGGUAGAGCCGUCGUUCUCGGUGUUCUUGAGGCCGCCGGCCUGCCUGCCCUUGUUGGCAUACUUGGGGACGCGGGUGGAGCCUCCCGUGGCCUCACCUUCUGACCAAGAAAUUGCCUUGGCAUGAUGUGAUCUGCUUCUGGGGGGGGGGGUCCUUCUCCGGCUCUUCCUCUUCUGCCUGAUGAGGUGAGUUGAGCUGGGGUGAGGUGUUUGCUUUGUGUUACUUGGGGUUGAGGAAGCGAUGCGGCAACGACAUAUAUACACACAAGGAUGUCAUCUCUUUUGGUGUCCUUGCUUGUUCGGCUCAAACGUAUGCGUGUUCAUACUUGAGUAGUAUACAUGUAUAUUCAAUGCACAUAUUACCAUUGGGGAUGUGAUUGGGUCAAGUCAAUGGCUGUGGUCAUCACCGUGUUUGUCUUCAUUUUUCAUACAUUAGAAUUAGCGUUAGGUAUGUUCAGUAGCAGACGGCUAAGAAUAAAAUGAAUAGCGGAUGGUACACUGGUAACAUGAUUCAGUCCCACAACAACAACCUACCGUGCCCCUCAGACAACAAAAGUGACGAAAAAAGAAUUACUCAGCUGGCAACGUGAAGCCGGCUCCAUGGUUUUUUUCAGUGAGAUGUCUAUGAAAUUUAUCGAAUUUAUGUAAUUUCAGUAGACAACAAAAUGUGUACCUUAUAUUGCCGUCAAAAUGCCAUCAUGGUCACAAAUGUAGACUCAGGCACCAAAUGCCAAUUUCAUGCCUUACAUCACUGCUAACAAAUAUGGUAAGAAACACAGGGAACAUGUAUGUCACGUUUUUUUUCCUUUUAUUCAGUGACACAGAAACAACCUGCCACACCACACGCAAGGGAGAAGAAAUUUUACUUGACCGUAACGUUUCUCUCCUGCAUGCAAACUAGCUAUGGAUUCCAAGGGCUCGAUCCUACCGAGUUUACAGACUAACUUUUUGCAACAUAAAACUGAAAUGACAGAAACACACUUAAUGAACUUCGUCACGUCAAUCGCAUCAUGCACGUUUUAAGGCUACCUCUAAACCAGCCUUUGGUUCAUCUUAGACUGGCCAAACACCCCCUUCUAUGUCAUUGGCAAUGCCCGCUUUGCCAUCUUAGAAUUUAUGACGAUAUUCGUCGUUUCUUCUUCUUUUUUGACGGUGGGACUACUGCUUCCUAUAACGCCAUAUUCUUCCUUUGUUCUUCUUCUUUCGUGAAGCAAUGUGUGGUCAGCUAGCUCAGGUGGAUGCAGUGUUUGCUUUGCUCCGGCUGGUUCGAGGAAGCCGGCUGGAAGACGCGCUUCCACCGUGGAGAAUGGUUUGCUGGCUUUGACAGUCAGUAAGUCCCUCCUGUUUGAUUUAGAUGGGACUUAAAGGGACUUAUAAGUUCUAAGUCCCUAAUAAGUCCCUGUAACCAAACACCUCCUAAAUCAUCUCGCUCUAGCAGUAGUCCAAGUCUCUCUGCAUAGAUACGUUGUGUAUGAUUUAUUUAUUUUAAAUCCAAUUUGAGCCGUGUUGCAUCAAAUGGCUGUUGUUUUAAAGUUUAAACAGACAGGACCAGCUGGGCCGGCCCACUAAGGUGUACAUUUGUUCUCCGUCUUUGAGAAUCUUCCAGAAGGUUCCAGUCUGGUUUUCACUGGUUUUUGUUUUUCUUUCCCGGAUUUCUUUGGUUUCCACUAUAUAUUUUUCUUUAAAAAUAUCCCUUUUGUAAAAAUAGAUUUAAAAAAACUCAUAAUAUCAAAUUAUUCAUGUCUUACAUGUUUCGUGGAAUUUCUAAAAAUGUUCUCACUUAGUAGGAAAUACAAUUUAUUUUUCAAAAUACCACGAAUCUGUUGAUAAAAUUAGUACGACGUGCACACCUGAAAAAUAAAGGAAAUACAACGAGGUCCCUGGGGGUGAGGGUGUGGCAAGUACACGAUGACGCCUCCACAUUACUGGUGUCAGUCAGUCGUUGUUACUCACCAACGGGAAAUUAUCUUCUUCUUUUUCUUUCUGCGAAUACGAACGGGAAGUUAUCCAGGUCACGGCCAUACCAUGCCAGGUUUCAGAAAAAAUACUGAGGUUGCUGAGGUGAGGUGGAUGUGGUAUUUG